Molecule: long non-coding RNA, 331 nt
Filed under: Micromonas commoda
Lineage: Eukaryota; Viridiplantae; Chlorophyta; Mamiellophyceae; Mamiellales; Mamiellaceae
Description: long non-coding RNA (MCOM_LNC000014)
Source: RNAcentral
CCAAAAUGAGCAAGUGCAAGCCGUGCUCCUAUUGGUGAGACGUAGCCUGACAGUGUCUCAUCAACAGCCGCAAGACACAGCGCAAGACUUGGAGCAGGUGCGAGUCGUCCCAUGACGCUUUGCCUUCCGAAAACAAAUUCUGCCCUAAAACUGGGAUCACAUUCUCCUCCGCCCGCCGCACUCGGAUUACACGCGACCCAUGACGAAUAUUCUUGUCUCAAAGAAUCGAUCAGAACGAUGGUCUCUCGAUCAUGUGUUGCACGCCUUGCAACCUUCCGUAACUCUUCGCGGACAGAGGUGGCCUGCUGUUUUGUUGCGUGAGGCACUGCGG